AGAGCCCGUUAAUGGGUGAUGGCGUGCCUUUUGUAGAAUGAACCGGCGAGUUACGAUUUGAUGCAAGGUUAAGCAGUAAAUGUGGAGCCGUAGCGAAAGCGAGUCUGAAUAGGGCGUUUAGUAUUUGGUCGUAGACCCGAAACCAGGUGAUCUACCCUUGGUCAGGUUGAAGUUCAGGUAACACUGAAUGGAGGACCGAACCGACUUACGUUGAAAAGUGAGCGGAUGAACUGAGGGUAGCGGAGAAAUUCCAAUCGAACCUGGAGAUAGCUGGUUCUCUCCGAAAUAGCUUUAGGGCUAGCCUCAAGUGAUGAUUAUUGGAGGUAGAGCACUGUUUGGACGAGGGGCCCCUCUCGGGUUACCGAAUUCAGACAAACUCCGAAUGCCAAUUAAUUUAACUUGGGAGUCAGAACAUGGGUGAUAAGGUCCGUGUUCGAAAGGGAAACAGCCCAGACCACCAGCUAAGGUCCCAAAAUAUAUGUUAAGUGGAAAAGGAUGUGGCGUUGCCCAGACAACUAGGAUGUUGGCUUAGAAGCAGCCAUCAUUUAAAGAGUGCGUAAUAGCUCACUAGUCGAGUGACACUGCGCCGAAAAUGUACCGGGGCUAAACAUAUUACCGAAGCUGUGGAUUGUCCUUUGGACAAUGGUAGGAGAGCGUUCUAAGGGCGUUGAAGCAUGAUCGUAAGGACAUGUGGAGCGCUUAGAAGUGAGAAUGCCGGUGUGAGUAGCGAAAGACGGGUGAGAAUCCCGUCCACCGAUUGACUAAGGUUUCCAGAGGAAGGCUCGUCCGCUCUGGGUUAGUCGGGUCCUAAGCUGAGGCCGACAGGCGUAGGCGAUGGAUAACAGGUUGAUAUUCCUGUACCACCUAUAAUCGUUUUAAUCGAUGGGGGGACGCAGUAGGAUAGGCGAAGCGUGCGAUUGGAUUGCACGUCUAAGCAGUAAGGCUGAGUAUUAGGCAAAUCCGGUACUCGUUAAGGCUG
RNAcentral lists this ribosomal RNA (979 nucleotides) under Staphylococcus aureus. Its description in RNAcentral is "partial 23S ribosomal RNA". It matches the Rfam family "Bacterial large subunit ribosomal RNA", at positions 576 to 1558 of the family's 2925-position model. Lineage: Bacteria; Bacillati; Bacillota; Bacilli; Caryophanales; Staphylococcaceae. The record is from RNAcentral.